CUGAGAAACGGCUACCACAUCUAAGGAAGGCAGCAGGCGCGUAACUUACCCACUCCCAGUUCAGGGAGGUAGUGACAAUAAAUACCUUACAGAGGUCUCGUUAACCGAGAUCUCUCAAACGGAAUGAGUACAACGUGAAUCCUUUAACGAGGAUCGACUGGAGGGCAAGCCUGGUGCCAGCAGCCGCGGUAAUUCCAGCUCCAGUAGCGUAUAUUAAAGCUGUUGCGGUUAAAAAGCUCGUAGUUGGAUAUCAGUGCGUGUCCGGUCCGGUAUGCCCGGCGCUGUCGCUCACGCGGCAAUGCUGGGCUCCCAAAUAUCGGCUGGCCGCAUUCAAUCGUGCCGGAUCCGUCGACGGGCCGUUCUUCGGAGGGGCCUGUUGGCGACCGGCGACGUUACCUUGAACAAAUUAGAGUGCUCAAAGCAGGCUCUGAAUGCCUGUAUACAUAUUCAUGGAAUUGGAGAAUACGUCCCUGGCUCGAUUUGGUUGGUUUUGAGAGUCGAAGGGAAAUGAUUAAUAGGGACUGACGGAGGCAUUCGUAUUGCGACGCGAGGGGUGAAAUCCUGUGACCGUCGCACGACGAACUACUGCGAAAGCAUUUGCCGAGAAUGUUUUCAUUAGUCAAGAACGAAAGUUAGAGGUUCGAAGGCGAUCAGAUACCGCCCUAGUUCUAACCGUAAACGAUGUCGACCAGCAAUCCGCAACGGUCACUACACGGACUGUGCGGGCAGCUUCCCCGGGGAAACCAGAGUGUAUGGACUCCGGGGGAAGUAUGGUUGCAAAGCUGAAACUUAAAGGAAUUGACGGAAGGGCACCACCAGGAGUGGAGCUUGCGGCUUAAUUUGACUCAACACGGGACAACUCACCAGGCCCGGACACCGUAAGGAUUGACAGACUGAUAGCUCUCUCUUGAUUCAGUGGGUGGUGGUGCAUGGCCGUUCUUAGUUGGUGGAGUGAUUUGUCUGGUUUAUUCCGAUAACGAACGAGACUCUGGCCUAUUAAACUUGACGCUGUCAGUCUCUUGUGACUGCGGCGCGCUUCUUAGAGGGAUCAUCGGCGUCCCAGCCGAAGGAAAGGGAGCAAUAACAGGUCUGUGAUGCCCUUAGAUGUUCUGGGCUGCACGCGUGUUACACUGAAGUGGUCAGCGCGCCGUUCAACGUCCCUCUCCGUGAGGAGCGGGCAAACGUUUGAACCCUUUUCGUGAUGGGAAUUGGGGGUUGCAAUUGUCCCCCAUGAACGAGGAAUUCCAAGUAAGCGCAGGUCACUAGCCUGCGUUGAUUAAGUCCCUGCCCUUUGUACACACCGCCCGUCGCUACUACCGAUGGAUGAUUUGGUGAGGUCGCCUAGAUUGGCUGCUGGCUUCGGCCGUGCGGCCGAGAAGACGCCCAAACUUGGUCGUCUAGAGGAAGUAAAAGUCGUAACAAGGUUUCC
RNAcentral lists this ribosomal RNA (1429 nucleotides) under Chamaesipho sp. MPL-2012. RNAcentral describes it as "SSU rRNA". It matches the Rfam family "Eukaryotic small subunit ribosomal RNA", at positions 396 to 1804 of the family's 1831-position model. Lineage: Eukaryota; Metazoa; Arthropoda; Thecostraca; Balanomorpha; Chthamalidae. The record is from RNAcentral.